RNAcentral lists this unclassified non-coding RNA (221 nucleotides) under soil metagenome. RNAcentral describes it as "partial contains 5.8S ribosomal RNA, internal transcribed spacer 2, and large subunit ribosomal RNA". The record is from RNAcentral.
AACCUAGCACACCUGCGGUGUGUACCUGCGGAAGGAUCAUUACAGAGUUGCAAGACUCCCUAAACCAUUGUGAACCUACCUUCUACCGUUGCUUCGGCGGGCGGGCCCAGCGCCCCCCCGGCCCCCCGCGGGCGCCCGCCGGAGGAUACCCAAACUCUUGACAUUAGUGGCCUCUCUGAGUAUUCUUUACUGAAUAAGUCAAAACUUUUAGCAACGGAUCU